This 492-nucleotide ribosomal RNA is filed under the name uncultured bacterium. RNAcentral's name for it is "partial 16S ribosomal RNA". It matches the Rfam family "Bacterial small subunit ribosomal RNA", at positions 29 to 507 of the family's 1533-position model. The record is from RNAcentral.
AGUGAACGCUGGCGGUAGGCCUAACACAUGCAAGUCGAACGGCAGCACAGUAAGAGCUUGCUCUUACGGGUGGCGAGUGGCGGACGGGUGAGGAAUACAUCGGAAUCUACUUUUUCGUGGGGGAUAACGUAGGGAAACUUACGCUAAUACCGCAUACGACCUACGGGUGAAAGCAGGGGAUCUUCGGACCUUGCGCGAUUGAAUGAGCCGAGGUCGGAUUGGCUAGUUGGCGGGGUAAAGGCCCACCAAGGCGACGAUCCGUAGCUGGUCGGAGAGGAUGAUCAGCCACACUGGAACUGAGACACGGUCCAGACUCCUACGGGAGGCAGCAGUGGGGAAUAUUGGACAAUGGGCGCAAGCCUGAUCCAGCCAUACCGCGUGGGUGAAGAAGGCCUUCGGGUUGUAAAGACCUUUUGUUGGGAAAGAAAAGCAGCAGGUUAAUACCCCGCUGUUCUGACGGUACCCAAAGAAUAAGCACCGGCUAACUUCGUG